AGAUUGAACGCUGGCGGCAUGCCUAACACAUGCAAGUCGAACGGGAGUAGCAAUACUCUAGUGGCGGACGGGUGAGGAAUACGUAGGAAUUUGCCCUUAAGUGGGGGAUAACCCGGGGGAAACCCGGAUUAAUACCGCAUGACCUCGAAAGAGCAAAGUGGGGGAUCGCAAGACCUCACGCUUUUGGAGAAGCCUACGUCGGAUUAGCUAGUUGGUGAGGUAAUGGCUCACCAAGGCGACGAUCCGUAACUGGUCUGAGAGGAUGAUCAGUCACACCGGAACUGAGACACGGUCCGGACUCCUACGGGAGGCAGCAGUGGGGAACCCGUAUUGGACAAUGGGCGCAAGACCUGAUCCAGCAAUAGCCGCGUGUGUGAAGAAGG
RNAcentral lists this ribosomal RNA (383 nucleotides) under uncultured soil bacterium. RNAcentral's name for it is "bacterial SSU rRNA". It matches the Rfam family "Bacterial small subunit ribosomal RNA", at positions 26 to 414 of the family's 1533-position model. The record is from RNAcentral.